UCAAGAAAUAGUUUAAUUAAAAUAAUAGCUUUGGGGGUUGUAGGUAUAAGUGUGGAUUCUUAUUUUCUUGAU
Molecule: transfer RNA, 72 nt
Filed under: Cheiraster sp. SS-2022
Lineage: Eukaryota; Metazoa; Echinodermata; Asteroidea; Notomyotida; Benthopectinidae
Description: tRNA-Pro
Source: RNAcentral